ACCUGCUUACUUAAGCUCUGUACUAAAAUUGCAGAAGCUAGUAUCAUGUCUUAGUAUUUGUAAUAAAGCUAGCAGAGUAAACACAAGAAGAAAAACAAGUAUGCCAGGUAGUAGAAAAACUGAGAUAAAUGUCUUUCUUGAGUUCAGGGUACUUUGUUCUAAGAUUUGGUAAGAUAAUA
This is a small nucleolar RNA of Vulpes vulpes (red fox), 179 nucleotides long. NCBI's taxonomy places the organism in Eukaryota, Metazoa, Chordata, Mammalia, Carnivora, Canidae. The record is from Ensembl.